UACAAUAAUAAUAAAAGCAUUAAGUGGAUGCCUUGGCAUUAAUUUUAUUUUUAGGACGUAAAAAAUGCGAAAAGCUAUAUUAAAUAAUAAUAUAUUUUGAAAUAUAGAUUUCCUAGAGAAAACUUUUUCUUUGUGAAAAUUUUAAAAGCAGUGAAUUGAAAUAUCUAAGUAACUGUUAAAAAAAUCAAACGAGAUUCCGUGAGUAAUGACGAGUGAAAAUGGAAAAUACGUUUAUAAAAAUAAAUAAAAUUUAUUCGAAUAAUUUUAAAAAUUAACGUAAAAAGUUAAAGUCCUGUAGAAUAAUUUAUAUUUUUAUAAUAGUAAAAAGAGGUAUGUGUAAUCUUUUUUGAAUAUUGGGGAACCACCCUCAAAACCUAGUAAAAAUUAAUGAUCGAUAGUGUACAAGUACUGUAAAGGAAAGGUGAAAAAGAACUUUUGAGUUUGAAAUAAUUCUGAAACUUAAUGUUAACAAUCAAUUGGAACUUUUUAUUAAAGUGACAGUGUACCUUUUGCAUAAUGGGCCAGCAAGUUUAUUUUUAUAGCAAGCUUAAUUUUUUAAAGUAGGCGCAGAUAAAUCAAGUUUUAAAAAGCAAUAUAGUUAUAAAAAUAAGACCCGAAACCGAGUGAUCUAACCAUGAACAGAUUGAAAAAUAGGUAAAACUAUUUGGAGGAUCGAACUCACAUGUGUGGCAAAACAUGGAGAUGAUUUGUGGUUAGGAGUGAAAGGCUAAUCAAACUCGGAGAUAGCUGGUUUUCCGCGAAAUCUAUUGAAGUAGAGCAUUUAAAAUCUUUUUUUGGGGUAGAGCACUCAUUGAGCUAGGGGGCGUAAAAACUUACUGAACUCUUAGAAACUCCGAAUACAAAAAAAAGUUAUUUAAAUAGACAGACAUUAGGCGCUAAGGUCUAUUGUCAAGAGGGAAACGGCCCAGAUUGAUCGCUAAGGUCUCUAAAUAAUAUUCUAAG
RNAcentral lists this non-coding RNA (963 nucleotides) under Globisporangium ultimum DAOM BR144. RNAcentral's name for it is "Pythium ultimum DAOM BR144 Bacterial large subunit ribosomal RNA". It matches the Rfam family "Bacterial large subunit ribosomal RNA", at positions 1 to 1063 of the family's 2925-position model. The record is from Rfam by way of RNAcentral. Lineage: Eukaryota; Oomycota; Peronosporomycetes; Pythiales; Pythiaceae.